Long non-coding RNA from Lutra lutra (Eurasian river otter), 274 nucleotides. RefSeq lists it as uncharacterized. The record is from RefSeq and is a predicted model, not a curated record. NCBI's taxonomy places the organism in Eukaryota, Metazoa, Chordata, Mammalia, Carnivora, Mustelidae. The transcript has 3 exons.
UUAUGUCCCACCUUCACUUCCCCAAACAGGAAAAGAAGUAGAUAAAGCCUUUACUUAAGAUGGUCUGAAAAGGCUUGAAAAUACUCAAUGCCACCACUUUUUCUGAAAAGUGUCUCAGAUCUUUACUCAGUGAGUGAAGGUUGGGAGAGGAGUACUAUUCUAAACAAGCAAACAAACAAAUCUUUAUGUCAACAGAGCCUCUGCUUUUUCAACUGGGGCUUUUAAGAACAAAAUGUCACUUUUUGGAAAAAGCUAAACAUGAAUGUUAACAGUA